AUAUCUCUCUGUACGGGAAGGAUGAGAAGCUUCGACUAAGGUUCGAUUCGAGCGCAGCGAGAAAGCGUUGCCGCAGGCAACGACCCGAAGGGCGAAGCGCGCAGCGCUGAGUAAUCCUUCCCCCAC
RNAcentral lists this small RNA (126 nucleotides) under Salmonella enterica subsp. enterica serovar Berta. RNAcentral's name for it is "partial RtT sRNA". It matches the Rfam family "RtT RNA". Rfam says of the family: This family represents a bacterial cis-regulatory element known as RtT RNA. The exact function of RtT is unknown although it is thought that it may be involved in changing the cellular response in relation to amino acid starvation. RNAcentral also lists the same sequence under 1 other name. Lineage: Bacteria; Pseudomonadati; Pseudomonadota; Gammaproteobacteria; Enterobacterales; Enterobacteriaceae. The record is from RNAcentral.